Molecule: ribosomal RNA, 467 nt
Filed under: uncultured bacterium
Lineage: Bacteria
Description: partial 16S ribosomal RNA
Rfam family: Bacterial small subunit ribosomal RNA
Source: RNAcentral
GACGAACGCUGGCGGCGGGCUUAACACAUGCAAGUCGAACGGAAAGGCCGCUUUCGGGGGCUACUCGAGUGGCGAACGGGUGAGUAACACCUGAGUAACCUGCCCUUGACUUGGGGAUAACUUCAGAAAACUGGGGCUAAUACCGGAUAGAAGCUCCUGCUGCAUGGGGGGGGUUGGAGAGUGUCAGGGUUGUGGGUGUGACUGGCGGCCAAUCAGGUGGCUGUUGGGGGAGUGGCUGACCAAGGCUGUGGCGGGUAGCCGGCCUGGGAGGGUGACCGGCCACAUUGACACUGGGACACGGCCACGACCCCUACUGCAGGCAGCAGUGGCGAAUAUUGCACUAUGGGUGUAGGCCUGAUGCAGACACGCCCUGUGCGCGAUGACGGCGUUGGUGUUGUAAUCCGAUUUCGCUCAUGACGAAGCUUUGUGUGACGGUAGUCGGUAAAGAAGCCCCGGCUAACUACGUG